This 638-nucleotide ribosomal RNA is filed under the name Bacillus aerophilus. Its description in RNAcentral is "bacterial SSU rRNA". It matches the Rfam family "Bacterial small subunit ribosomal RNA", at positions 45 to 668 of the family's 1533-position model. The record is from RNAcentral. Lineage: Bacteria; Bacillati; Bacillota; Bacilli; Caryophanales; Bacillaceae.
UGCUAUACAUGCAAGUCGAGCGGACAGAAGGGAGCUUGCUCCCGGAUGUUAGCGGCGGACGGGUGAGUAACACGUGGGUAACCUGCCUGUAAGACUGGGAUAACUCCGGGAAACCGGAGCUAAUACCGGAUAGUUCCUUGAACCGCAUGGUUCAAGGAUGAAAGACGGUUUCGGCUGUCACUUACAGAUGGACCCGCGGCGCAUUAGCUAGUUGGUGAGGUAACGGCUCACCAAGGCGACGAUGCGUAGCCGACCUGAGAGGGUGAUCGGCCACACUGGGACUGAGACACGGCCCAGACUCCUACGGGAGGCAGCAGUAGGGAAUCUUCCGCAAUGGACGAAAGUCUGACGGAGCAACGCCGCGUGAGUGAUGAAGGUUUUCGGAUCGUAAAGCUCUGUUGUUAGGGAAGAACAAGUGCAAGAGUAACUGCUUGCACCUUGACGGUACCUAACCAGAAAGCCACGGCUAACUACGUGCCAGCAGCCGCGGUAAUACGUAGGUGGCAAGCGUUGUCCGGAAUUAUUGGGCGUAAAGGGCUCGCAGGCGGUUUCUUAAGUCUGAUGUGAAAGCCCCCGGCUCAACCGGGGAGGGUCAUUGGAAACUGGGAAACUUGAGUGCAGAAGAGGAGAGUGGAAUU